GUUCUGCUCUUUGUAAUGUAGUCCAGAAUCCCCCAGAUCUCAUAAAGAAUCAGAACGACACUGCUGAGAUCAACUGUGUGCAUAGUGUAACAGACUAUGAGCGCAUACUGUGGUACAAACACACUCAGACCACCAAAUUGAAGUUUAUGGGGUACCUCCAUUUUCAGACUCCAAACCCAGAGACUGAAUUUGCAAACAUCUCACUGAGUGGUGAUGGAAGAAAUAAUGGCUCAUUGAUCAUAUCCAGACUGUCAGUGAAUGACAGCGCUGUGUAUUUCUGCGCAGCCUAUUACACAGUGCAGUAGAUUACCUCACUACACUACAAAAACCUUCCUCUGAUCCACAUUACCACCAAGACAACACCUGGAAUGGUUUGAUUUAGUGCCAAUAAAAACACAAACAUAUUCAGCAAUUGAAGAGUGUAGUGCUGGUAAGGAGGGGUCAAAUGGCUGUGACCACUGAUAUGAUGUCAUGUCCUGUAUAGCUUCAAGUUAAAUUAUGCCAUUUUGUUUCAGUUUGGAAUUAGCAACAGUCAACAUGACCAGGGCUAUUAUAAUACUGCUUCACUUACUCUACUGGAUCCAAGGUGCUGUCAGAGCAAAUGAUGUCAUUCAGCCCAAUAUAAUCUGGGCUAAAAUCGGUGAAUUAGCCACGAUCAACUGCAAACAUACAAAGGAUGCAACUUACAAUCAAAUGUACUGGUUCCGUCAGCAUCAAGGAGAGUCUAUGAAGCUCAUUGCCUUCACAGCCACCUUUAACAAACAGCCAGAGUUUGGAGAAGGUUUUGAUGAGAAUAAAUUUACAGCCAAUAAAACAGUGGCUGAGAGUGGAUCAUUAACAGUGAACAAUCUGGGUUCUACUGACAGUGCUGUGUAUUUCUGUGCAGUGAGUAAACACAGUGUUAGAAACUCAGAGAGAGGCUGUACAAAAACAAUACAGGCCAACCAGACUAAAUGCUGAUCAAAUGCUGAGCAGGAAUGCAGUUCUGUAUUUUAUCAUCAGAGGGCGCCAUGACGAUGAUAUUCAAGAGGUAUUCCUGUGUGUUAUGUUGCAUAUGUCUGAAGCAGCAAUCCAUUCAACUUUGAGAUUCAGCAUGAUCAGACUUCACAGCAUUAUUGUUUCAUUUAUAGGCCUGUUUGGGUUUUCUCACAGUAAUCGUGUCACCCAGACUCCUGCUCAUCUUACUGGAAACCAUGCGGGAUCUGCUACAAUCGAGUGUUCACACAGUGUACAGAGUUAUGAUCAAAUUAACUGGUACAAACAAUCCCAGCAACAAGAUUUAACGUUCAUUGGGUACCUCUUAAGAACGUCAAAACCUCAAAAAGAGCCAGAAUUUCUGAAUAAAGUGGAUAUGACUGGAGAUGGAACCAAGAAUGUCUUACUCAUCAUCAAAAAUCUUUCAGACACAGACAGUGCAGUGUAUUUCUGUGCUGCGUGGUACACGGUGCUGCAGAGCCGCUGCAUAGCAACACAAAAACAUCUGAAGACGUUAUUAGCACCUGCAUCUGUGGUCUUCCAGUUUUCACAAAGAAGAAGUGCCAGUCCAAACUUCAAAGAAACUGACACAAAGUCAUUUCCAAAGAGAUUUGUUAUGAUGAUUACUUUUUGCUGUUUUACACUGACAAUGGCUUCAUUUCAAGCUUUAAUCAUUAAGGCAGAGUCAAAAAUCAGGAAGCAGGCUAAUAUCUGCGAAAAUUUCUUUUUAAGAGAAAGAUAAAACUGUACCAGUUAAACACUGAGCUCUACCAUGAGAAUCUGUCACAAUAUAAAAAAAAGG
Long non-coding RNA from Pygocentrus nattereri (red-bellied piranha), 1777 nucleotides. The record is from Ensembl. NCBI's taxonomy places the organism in Eukaryota, Metazoa, Chordata, Actinopteri, Characiformes, Serrasalmidae.